Molecule: non-coding RNA, 259 nt
Organism: Pelobates cultripes (western spadefoot toad)
Lineage: Eukaryota; Metazoa; Chordata; Amphibia; Anura; Pelobatidae
Source: the annotation of a GenBank genome assembly
GCCAGACCAGUAAUCCUUACAGUAUGAAAUUUAGUGUUUCUUAAAUAAUAUCCACUGGUAUGAAUCUAUCGUAUAACCAGCUUUGUAGAAGAAAUUUGUAAGGAAGUAUCCUUAGAAGGAAACCAGUUCUUACUCAAAAUUAUUUGAAACACAAUAAUUACUGAAUAUAUCACAACGGAACUGCGUCUGCAACUAUGUGACACUCUCUCACAUCAGGGCACCUCCUAUAUACAUAACUAUUAUUUAUUAUGUAUUAUUG